Microtus oregoni (creeping vole) is the source of this 144-nucleotide long non-coding RNA. RefSeq lists it as uncharacterized. The record is from RefSeq and is a predicted model, not a curated record. The transcript has 3 exons. NCBI's taxonomy places the organism in Eukaryota, Metazoa, Chordata, Mammalia, Rodentia, Cricetidae.
CUCUCAACUGAGAAAACGCCUCCAGAAGACUCGGGUGGCCCAAGGAAAAUCCAACUACAUGUAUCACCUCAAAUGGUGGGAGAGAAACCUGUUACAGUGACAUGGUCUCAAAAUAGAGAGGCAGGAUCGGUGAGACACUGUAUG